GUCCACGCCGUAAACGAUGGAUACUAGCUGUUCGGAGCAAUCUGAGUGGCUAAGCGAAAGUGAUAAGUAUCCCACCUGGGGAGUACGUUCGCAAGAAUGAAACUCAAAGGAAUUGACGGGGCCGCACAAGCGGUGGAGCAUGUGGUUUAAUUCGAUGAUACGCGAGGAACCUUACCAAGGCUUAAAUGUAGAUUGACCGGUUUGGAACAGAUCUUUCGCAAGACAAUUUACAAGGUGCUGCAUGGUUGUCGU
This 252-nucleotide ribosomal RNA is filed under the name uncultured bacterium. RNAcentral's name for it is "partial 16S ribosomal RNA". It matches the Rfam family "Bacterial small subunit ribosomal RNA", at positions 793 to 1055 of the family's 1533-position model. The record is from RNAcentral.